UGCGCCCUUACGGGAGGCAGCAGCAAGGAAUGGGCCGCAAUGGACACAUGUCUGACGGAGCAACGCCGCGUGCAGGACGACGGCCCUCGGGUUGUAAACUGCUUUUGGGUGGGACGAUGAUGACGGUACCACCCGAAUAAGCCCCGGCUAACUCCGUGCCAGCAGCCGCGGUAAGACGGAGGGGGCAAGCGUUGUCCGGACUCACUGGGCGUAAAGCGUGCGUAGGUGGUGCGAUGCGUCGGCGCUGAAAGCCGUCUUAACCGGGCGACGGGCGACGAUACGUUCGCACUGGAGGCAGGGAGACGUUGGUGGAAUUUCGGGUGUAGUGGUGAAAUGGUAGAGAUCCGGAGGAAUGUCGGUGGCGUAAGCGGUCAACGAGUUCUGACCUGACACUGAGGCACGAAAGCGUGGGGAGCAAACCGGAUUAGAUACCCGGGGAGUUCACGUCGUAAACGAUGUCGGCUAGGUGUGUGAUCGGGGUGACCUGAUGGUGUGUCGAAGCUUACGCGGGAAGCCGACCG
RNAcentral lists this ribosomal RNA (521 nucleotides) under uncultured bacterium. RNAcentral's name for it is "bacterial SSU rRNA". It matches the Rfam family "Bacterial small subunit ribosomal RNA", at positions 332 to 871 of the family's 1533-position model. The record is from RNAcentral.